AGAGUUUGAUCCUGGCUCAGAAUCAACGCUGGCGGCGUGCCUAACACAUGCAAGUCGCACGAGAAAGGGACUUCGGUCCUGAGUACAGUGGCGCACGGGUGAGUAACACGUGAAUCAUCUACCUUCGAGUGGGGAAUAACUGAGAGAAAUCUUAGCUAAUACCGCAUAAUACCUACGGGUCAAAGCAGCAAUGCGCUUGAAGAGGAGUUCGCGGCAGAUUAGUUAGUUGGCGGGGUAAUGGCCCACCAAGACGAUGAUCUGUAUCCGGCCUGAGAGGGCGCACGGACACACUGGAACUGAAACACGGUCCAGACUCCUACGGGAGGCAGCAGUGGGGAAUUUUGCGCAAUGGGGGAAACCCUGACGCAGCAACGCCGCGUGGAGGAUGAAAUCCCUUGGGAUGUAAACUCCUUUCGAUCGGGAAGAUAAUGACGGUACCGAGAGAAGAAGCCCCGGCUAACUUCGUGCCAGCAGCCGCGGUAAUACGAGGGGGGCAAGCGUUGUUCGGAAUUAUUGGGCGUAAAGGGUGCGUAGGCGGUUUGAUAAGUUUGAUGUGAAAUCUCUGGGCUCAACCCAGAGUCUGCAUCGAAAACUGUCGGGCUUGAGUAUGGGAGAGGUGAGUGGAAUUCCCGGUGUAGCGGUGAAAUGCGUAGAUAUCGGAAGGAACACCUGUGGCGAAAGCGGCUCACUGGACCAUUACUGACGCUGAUGCACGAAAGCUAGGGGAGCAAACAGGAUUAGAUACCCUAGUAGUCC
RNAcentral lists this ribosomal RNA (756 nucleotides) under uncultured bacterium. Its description in RNAcentral is "bacterial SSU rRNA". It matches the Rfam family "Bacterial small subunit ribosomal RNA", at positions 8 to 796 of the family's 1533-position model. The record is from RNAcentral.